UAGCAUAUCAAUAAGCGGAGGAAAAAGAAACCAACCGGGAUUGCCUUAGUAACGGCGAGUGAAGCGGCAAAAGCUCAAAUUUGAAAUCUGGUACCUUCGGUGCCCGAGUUGUAAUUUGGAGAGGGCAACUUUGGGGCCGUUCCUUGUCUAUGUUCCUUGGAACAGGACGUCAUAGAGGGUGAGAAUCCCGUGUGGCGAGGAGUGCGGUUCUAUGUAAAGUGCCUUCGAAGAGUCGAGUUGUUUGGGAAUGCAGCUCUAAGUGGGUGGUAAAUUCCAUCUAAAGCUAAAUAUUGGCGAGAGACCGAUAGCGAACAAGUACAGUGAUGGAAAGAUGAAAAGAACUUUGAAAAGAGAGUGAAAAAGUACGUGAAAUUGUUGAAAGGGAAGGGCAUUUGAUCAGACAUGGUGUUUUGCGCCCUCUGCUCCUUGUGGGUGGGGGAAUCUCGCAGUUCACUGGGCCAGCAUCAGUUUUGGUGGCAGGAUAAAUCCGUAGGAAUGUAACUUGCUUCGGGAAGUAUUAUAGCCUAUGGGAAUACUGCCAGCUGGGACUGAGGACUGCGACGUAAGUCAAGGAUGCUGGCAUAAUGGUUAUAUGCCGCCCGUCUUGAAACACGGACCAAGGAGUCUAACGUCUAUGCAAGUGUUUGGGUGUAAAACCCAUACGCGUAAUGAAAGUGAACGUAGGUUGGGGCCUCGCAAGAGGUGCACAAUCGACCGAUCCUGAUGUCUUCGGAUGGAUUUGAGUAAGAGCAUAGCUGUUGGGACCCGAAAGAUGGUGAACUAUGCCUGAAUAGGGUGAAGCCAGAGGAAACUCUGGUGGAGGCUCGUAGCGGUUCUGACGUGCAAAUCGAUCGUCGAAUUUGGGUAUAGGGGGCGAAAGACUAAUCGAACCAUCU
This 896-nucleotide ribosomal RNA is filed under the name Saccharomyces cerevisiae x Saccharomyces uvarum. RNAcentral's name for it is "LSU rRNA". It matches the Rfam family "Eukaryotic large subunit ribosomal RNA", at positions 36 to 945 of the family's 3401-position model. Lineage: Eukaryota; Fungi; Ascomycota; Saccharomycetes; Saccharomycetales; Saccharomycetaceae. The record is from RNAcentral.